AGUUGCUUUCAUUUGACCGAGAACCAGAAUGUCCUACCACAAUAGAACGGACCCGAAUUCAAUGUAUGGACAUCAUCUUACCAAUUACAAAACCUUGGAGAACGUACCGAGGACCGCAUGGAUCAAUCUGAACGACAGCUUCGUGACCUUAAAUUAGAUUCCCGCCUCAACUUUGUCUCGAUGGAAAUUGUUGGCAUUUCAAUACUUGCCUUGUUAUCGCUCUUAAUAGCCGUGUAUUCCUGUGUCAGAGAUGAACAAAAACGUCUUCGACAAAAAGUGAGCAGUAAAGUUGUCUCGCCAUGAAUAAUUAAACUGUUCAGGCUAUGCAAGUUGUUAUUUUUAUAUUCGAUUUGUGUAAACCUUUAUCCAUAAAUAAAUAUAUAAAUAUG
Mytilus californianus (California mussel) is the source of this 389-nucleotide long non-coding RNA. RefSeq lists it as uncharacterized. Lineage: Eukaryota; Metazoa; Mollusca; Bivalvia; Mytilida; Mytilidae. The record is from RefSeq and is a predicted model, not a curated record. The transcript has 2 exons.